Molecule: non-coding RNA, 132 nt
Filed under: Mixta gaviniae
Lineage: Bacteria; Pseudomonadati; Pseudomonadota; Gammaproteobacteria; Enterobacterales; Erwiniaceae
Description: Pantoea gaviniae MoCo sequence
Rfam family: Molybdenum/Tungsten riboswitch aptamer (Moco RNA motif)
Source: RNAcentral
CAGGCAAAACCACACUCAAGCCUUUGCGCCUACGUCAUCUGAUACGGGGCACUGGCCGCAGCCGCGAGCUGCCAGGGUGCAGAAAGAAAUGACUGCAUCUCCCAUUUGGAAAGGUGUUCUGGUGAACCAAUU